Molecule: ribosomal RNA, 254 nt
Filed under: uncultured bacterium
Lineage: Bacteria
Description: partial 16S ribosomal RNA
Rfam family: Bacterial small subunit ribosomal RNA
Source: RNAcentral
UACGGGGGGAGCAAGCGUUGUUCGGAUUUACUGGGCGUAAAGGGCGCGUAGGCGGUCAGCACAAGUCAGUUGUGAAAUCUCCGGGCUUAACUCGGAAAGGUCAACUGAUACUGUGCGACUAGAGUGCAGAAGGGGCAACUGGAAUUCUCGGUGUAGCGGUGAAAUGCGUAGAUAUCGAGAGGAACGCCUGCGGCGAAGGCGGGUUGCUGGGCCGACACUGACGCUGAUGCGCGAAAGCCAGGGGAGCGAACGGG